UUCAUUUAAAGAGUGCGUAACAGCUCACUAGUCGAGCGGACGAGCAUGGAUAAUAAUCGGGCAUAAGCAUAUUACCGAAGCUAUGGAUUUUCCGCUUAUGCGGAAAGUGGUAGGGGAGCAUUCUAAACUGGGUCGAAGGUGUGAUGUGAGUCAUGCUGGACUGUUUAGAAAAGAAAAUGUAGGCAUAAGUAACGAUAAUGCGGGCGAGAAACCCGCACACCGAAAAACUAAGGUUUCCGCAGCUAUGCUAAUCAGCUGCGGGUUAGUCGGGUCCUAAGGCGAACCCGAAAGGGACAGUCGAUGGCCAACGGGUUAAUAUUCCCGUACUACUUAUAAUUGUGAUGGAGAGACGCAGUGGUGAAAGUACCGCGAACUGACGGAAUAGUUCGUUGAAGGUUGUAGCUAUAUUUCAGAUAGGCAAAUCCGUUUGAAAUGGUAAAGACUGAUAGUACUCGGAGUCUUCGGACAAAGAGAUAGUGUACCUAAAGGCUGCCAAGAAAAUCUUCUAAACUUAGAUUAUAAGUACCCGUACCGUAAACCGACACAGGUAGUUGAGGAGAGAAUCCUAAGGUGCUCGAGAGAUUCAUGGCUAAGGAAUUAGGCAAAAUAGACCUGUAACUUCGGGAGAAAGGUCGCCCCGAGCAAUCGGGGCCGCAGUGAAAAGAUCCAGGCGACUGUUUAUCAAAAACACAGGGCUCUGCAAAAUCGUAAGAUGAAGUAUAGGGCCUGACACCUGCCCGGUGCUUGAAGGUUAAGUGGAGAUGUUAUCUUCGGAGAAGCAUUGAAAUGAAGCCCAAGUAAACGGCGGCCGUAACAAUAACGGUCCUAAGGUAGCGAAAUUCCUUGUCGGGUAAGUUCCGACCUGCACGAAUGGUGUAAUGAUCUGGGCACUGUCUCAGCCACGAGCUCGGUGAAAUUGAAGCAUCGGUGAAGAUACCGAUUACCCGCAACGGGACGGAAAGACCCCGUGAACCUUUACUAUAGCUUCACGUUGAGCUUGGAUUCAAGAUGUGUAGGAUAGGUGGGAGACUAAGAAGUUGUUACGCUAGUAAUGAUGGAGUCGCCGUUGAAAUACCACCCUUUUUGCAUUUAGGUUCUAACUUCGUAAAGAAGGACAUCGUGUGGUGGGUAGUUUGACUGGGGUGGUCGCCUCCCAAAAAGUAACGGAGGCUCGCAAAGGUUCCCUCAGCAUGGUUGGUAAUCAUGCGCAGAGCGUAUUAGUAUAAGGGAGCUUGACUGAGAGAGCGACGGCUCGAACAGGGUCGAAAGACGGCUAAAGUGAUCCGGUGGUUCCGCAUGGAAGGGCCAUCGCUCAAAGGAUAAAAGGUACGCCGGGGAUAACAGGCUGAUCUCCCCCAAGAGCUCAUAUCGACGGGGAGGUUUGGCACCUCGAUGUCGGCUCGUCUCAUCCUGGGGCUGUAGCCGGUCCCAAGGGUAUGGCUGUUCGCCAUUUAAAGUGGCACGCGAGCUGGGUUCAGAACGUCGUGAGACAGUUCGGUCUCUAUCUACUGUGGGCGUUAGAAAUUUGAGUGGAUCUGAUUCUAGUACGAGAGGACCGAAUUGGACUAACCGCUGGUGUAUCUGUUGUUCCGCCAGGAGCACCGCAGAGUAGCUACGUUGGGAAGGGAUAAGCGCUGAAAGCAUAUAAGCGCGAAACCCACCACAAGAUGAGAUUUCUUCUAGGACCCUUAAAAGAAAUCUCAUCUUGUGGUGGGUUUCGCGCUU
RNAcentral lists this ribosomal RNA (1725 nucleotides) under Daphnia magna. Its description in RNAcentral is "bacterial LSU rRNA". It matches the Rfam family "Bacterial large subunit ribosomal RNA", at positions 1118 to 2925 of the family's 2925-position model. Lineage: Eukaryota; Metazoa; Arthropoda; Branchiopoda; Diplostraca; Daphniidae. The record is from RNAcentral.